GGGCCCGCACAAGCGGUGGAGCAUGUGGUUUAAUUCGAUGAUACGCGAGGAACCUUACCAGGGCUUAAAUGGGAAAUGACAGGGGCAGAGACGCCCCCUUCUUCGGACAUUUUUCAAGGUGCUGCAUGGUUGUCGUCAGCUCGUGCCGUGAGGUGUCAGGUUAAGUCCUAUAACGAGCGCAACCCCUACCGUUAGUUGCCAGCGUGUAAUGACGGGGACUCUAACGGAACUGCCGGUGCAAACCGUGAGGAAGGUGGGGACGACGUCAAGUCCUCAUGGCCCUUACGGGUUGGGCUACACACGUGCUACAAUGGUAGUGACAAUGGGUUAAUCCCAAAAAGCUAUCUCAGUUCGGAUUGUCGUCUGCAACUCGACGGCAUG
RNAcentral lists this ribosomal RNA (381 nucleotides) under uncultured bacterium. RNAcentral describes it as "bacterial SSU rRNA". It matches the Rfam family "Bacterial small subunit ribosomal RNA", at positions 917 to 1322 of the family's 1533-position model. The record is from RNAcentral.